UAGUAGUCACAGGAGGUUGUCUGAAAAGAGUGGUCCCAUGGAGGGGCUGCAAGCUUGUGAGCUCAGGCCUGGCCACUGCUUGUCCCACCCCCACUCCUCUGUCACCGGGCACAAAGAAAGAGCAGAUGAAUGGCUUGUUGGGCAUCAGAGAGGAAGUCAUCAAGAAAGGGAAAGCACACAACAUUUGUUGUUCAGGACAAUGUCUGGCACAUAGAAAGCACAUGAUGAAUCAUUACACCCUUUCCUGAUAAAGAAGAAUGCUUCCAAUGCACAAAAUAAGACCGGGAGGGUCACAGAGACAUCUAUUAUGCAGAGAUACUGCUAUCAACAGAUUUCCUCUAGUGCGUUUGUGAUCAAGUCAUAACCAUCCUCCGUUGUUAAUCCUCUGACGAAACCCAGCAGCAGGUGCGACGCUGAGGAGCCAGGACUACAGAUGGUGAUGUGGGACUCGUGCAGCCACUGGGCCCUGGAGGGAAGGGGACCUGGGAUUUCCACUGGAGCCGCAGGCCCUGCUGCCCUUUGCCACCUACAUUCCUACUAGAGGGACUCCUGCUUUCACUUAGUGGUUAAUGACAAGGGUAUGUUUGUGUCCUAUCCAAAUCCACACACGCCCCUGAUUUCUACCCAUGGACUUCAGGUUAAAAAGUACCGGGUGAGUGAAGGCAAGUCAGAGGUAAACUGUAGAGUGCAGUGCCCCGUGAAUGUUGUUAGUCCUGGAGGGAUGUGGGUGCCUCUGGGAUGGGCAAGGGAGGUGGAGAAAACAGGCUAAAUCUGGCUUAUUUGCUGGCAAAC
Long non-coding RNA from Suricata suricatta (meerkat), 792 nucleotides. RefSeq lists it as uncharacterized. The record is from RefSeq and is a predicted model, not a curated record. Lineage: Eukaryota; Metazoa; Chordata; Mammalia; Carnivora; Herpestidae. The transcript is spliced from 3 exons.